AUUUAAAUAGUUUAUAAUAAAAUUUUAAUUUGUGGGAUUAAAGAUAUGAUUUGUCAUUUUAAAUA
RNAcentral lists this transfer RNA (65 nucleotides) under Trigonopterus sp. 5 AH-2016. RNAcentral's name for it is "tRNA-His". The record is from RNAcentral. Lineage: Eukaryota; Metazoa; Arthropoda; Insecta; Coleoptera; Curculionidae.